Molecule: transfer RNA, 84 nt
Filed under: Acidianus manzaensis
Lineage: Archaea; Thermoproteati; Thermoproteota; Thermoprotei; Sulfolobales; Sulfolobaceae
Description: tRNA-Ser
Rfam family: tRNA
About the family: Transfer RNA (tRNA) molecules are approximately 80 nucleotides in length.
Source: RNAcentral
GCCGAGGUCGCCUAGCCAGGUAGGGCGGCGGCCUGCUAAGCCGUUGGGGGAAACCCCGCACGGGUUCAAAUCCCGUCCUCGGCG